CCCUUAGAUGUUCUGGGCCGCACGCGUGCUACACUGAGUGGAUCAGCGGGUCAGGUUGCGCGAAAGCGUUUCCUAAUCUUUAAAUCCGCUCGUGAUGGGGAUUGACGGUUGCAAUUUUCUGUCAUGAACGAGGAAUACCUUGUAAGCGCGGGUCAUCAUCCCGCGCUGAAUACGUCCCUGCCCUUUGUACACACCGCCCGUCGCUCCUACCGAUUGAGUGGUCCGGUGAGGCUUUGGGAUCUGAGCGGAAAGAGCGUUUCGCUGUUUCUGCUCGGAAAGCUCAGUCGAACCUUAUCAUUUAGAGGAAGGAGAAGUCGUAACA
Molecule: ribosomal RNA, 322 nt
Filed under: uncultured eukaryote
Lineage: Eukaryota
Description: partial 18S ribosomal RNA
Rfam family: Eukaryotic small subunit ribosomal RNA
Source: RNAcentral